RNAcentral lists this ribosomal RNA (610 nucleotides) under Symbiodinium sp. clade D. RNAcentral describes it as "partial Bacterial large subunit ribosomal RNA". It matches the Rfam family "Bacterial large subunit ribosomal RNA", at positions 498 to 1109 of the family's 2925-position model. The record is from RNAcentral. Lineage: Eukaryota; Dinophyceae; Suessiales; Symbiodiniaceae.
GUACCGUGAGGGAAAGGUGAAAAGAACCCCGGGAGGGGAGUGAAAAGAACAUGAAACCAUAAACUUACAACCAGUAGGAGGACGACUAAAACGUCUGACUGCGUGCCUGUUGAAGAAUGAGCCGGCGACUUAUAGGUAGUGGCAGGUUAAAGCAGAGAAUGCUGAAGCCAUAGUGAAAGCGAGCCUGAAUAGGGCAUAUGUCACUGGUUAUAGACCCGAACCCGGAUGAUCUAACCAUGGUCAGGUUGAAGCUUAGGUAAUACUAAGUGGAGGACCGAACCGACUGAUGUUGAAAAAUCAGCGGAUGAACUGUGGUUAGGGGUGAAAUGCCAAUCGAAUUCGGAGCUAGCUGGUUCUCCCCGAAAUGCGUUUUGGCGCAGCGAUAAAUGUUAUAACUUAGGGGUAAAGCACUGUUACGUAUGCGGGCUGGUAAUUCGGUACCAAAUCGUUGCAAACUAAGAAUACUAAGUGGAAAGUUUAUCAGUGAGACUGUGGGGGAUAAGCUCCAUUGUCGAGAGGGAAACAGCCCAGACCGUCAGCUAAGGUCCCAAAGUUAUUGCUAAGUGGGAAACGAUGUGGGAAGGCAUAGACAGCUAGGAGGUUGGCUUAG